Molecule: non-coding RNA, 926 nt
Organism: Pelodiscus sinensis (Chinese soft-shelled turtle)
Lineage: Eukaryota; Metazoa; Chordata; Testudines; Trionychidae
Source: RefSeq, a predicted model, not a curated record
AGGCAAGACAGAGGUACAAGGCAGAGACAAUCUCCUCCCACCCCCCGCUCCCCGCUUCCUGGCUUUGUGGGAGGCUGUUCCAAAUAGGUGGGACUGGAAUUGCUCUGAGGCUGAUCUCUUCCAGAGGCUCUGCACAAGGGCUUGUCUGACCUCAGGCAGGCCAUGCUGGGGAACCUGCUGGCAGAGUCCCCAGACAUAGGCAGGCUCUGAUACAUCUUGGAGUGUCACCAGCGGAGGGACUUGGGGGAGCAAGACCCCUGAUGCUGAGGAGACUGGGAGCUGAGAGGAGAAUGCUGAUGGAUCCCGCUCUCCUUCCCUUCCAUUAGAACUCAGCACAGUUCCCCAAACUAGAGAUCUUGGUGGCUUAGCUCAACUAUCCAUCAGUGACGCAGCCAAAAACAUCAGCCAUCUGGCCAGGGAGAUUUACCAGCUCUACAAACUGCCGCUACGCCAGAGGUCCAUUAUGGCAAUACCGUAAUGAGGAUUCUGUUGGGAGAAGUGAAGGAAAGAAUCAAGACACACUGAAGAAAGAGAGGUUGCAGUUUCUUCAUUAUAACCAAGCACGCCAGACUCUCUACUCAACAGGGGAGCACCACAGCCGCCCCACCACCAUCCCAGACCCGUGGCACCCACAAGCACUGGCAUGUCUACACGGACCUGUUGAGAGAGCACGUAGUGGCCCUGUGGGACCUCAACAGGACCCUCCAGCAGAGGACGGCGGCAGAGGCCGAGUGGUGCAACAGGCUGCUGUACAAGCUAGUCCCGCAACGCACUGUCAUCUGUACCACAAUGCAGGAGGUCCUUGCUUUGCCUGCCCCUCUAGGGCACUGCUCCUCCUGCACUCCAGGCCCUUGCUCCUCCAGCCCCCCUUUCUCCUCCAGCCCCUCCAGCCUCCCUUUUCCCCCCCCAGCCCCUCCUGCUCCCGA